Non-coding RNA from Acanthosepion pharaonis, 111 nucleotides. NCBI's taxonomy places the organism in Eukaryota, Metazoa, Mollusca, Cephalopoda, Sepiida, Sepiidae. The record is from the annotation of a GenBank genome assembly.
CAUCCAUAUCCGGUUGAAACACCGGUUCUCAUCCAAUCGCCGAAGUUAAACAACUUUGAGCCUAGUCAGUACUCAGAUGGGUAACCUCGCGCAAAUACAAGAUGCUGUAAU